RNAcentral lists this ribosomal RNA (500 nucleotides) under uncultured bacterium. RNAcentral describes it as "partial 16S ribosomal RNA". It matches the Rfam family "Bacterial small subunit ribosomal RNA", at positions 30 to 523 of the family's 1533-position model. The record is from RNAcentral.
AUUGAACGCUGGCGGCAUGCCUUACACAUGCAAGUCGAACGGCAGCACGGGAGCAAUCCUGGUGGCGAGUGGCGAACGGGUGAGUAAAGUAUCGGAACGUGCCCAGUCGUGGGGGAUAACGUAGCGAAAGUUACGCUAAUACCGCAUACGAUCUAUGGAUGAAAGCGGGGGAUCGCAAGACCUCGCGCGAUUGGAGCGGCCGAUAUCAGAUUAGGUAGUUGGUGGGGUAAAGGCUCACCAAGCCGACGAUCUGUAGCUGGUCUGAGAGGACGACCAGCCGCACUAGGACUGAGAAACGGCCCAGACUCCUACGGGUGGCAGCAGUGAGGAAUUUUGGACAAUGGGCGCAAGCCUGAUCCAGCCAUGCCGCGUGCAGGAUGAAGGCCUUCGGGUUGUAAACUGCUCUUGUAUGGAACGAAAAGGUUUGACUUAAUACGUUGGACUCAUGACGGUACCGUAAGAAUAAGCACCGGCUAACUACGUGCCAGCCGCCGCAGUAA